Cinara cedri is the source of this 3401-nucleotide non-coding RNA. NCBI's taxonomy places the organism in Eukaryota, Metazoa, Arthropoda, Insecta, Hemiptera, Aphididae. The record is from the annotation of a GenBank genome assembly.
CACAUUGCCACAAUAGUGGGCUUUGUAGUUUACAUGACAGGGGCCAUCCUGUGUAAUCUUAGUUAUUCGUUAUCAUAGUUUUGUUUGUCAAACAUUUGGAUUUUCCUACUAAAUGUCAAUUUAAUAUAUCCUCUCAAUAUUGUUUGUUAUUUGUUAAUUUUCAAUACGUUUUGUGUUUCUAAUAAAACUGUAAAUAUUACAGAAUGGCUGAUGUUUUAGACUUGAACGCUGAAGAGUUUGUGGAAGAAGAUGAUGGUAAUAAAACAUGUGUUUACUAUUGUACGAUUCUUAGAUUUAUUGAACAUGAGUUGUUAAUUUGUUUCAACAAAUUGUGGGUUGUAAAAAUAUUUACGAGGAAAAAACCAACGGUAAAAUAGUGUAAUUUUAUUAUCUUAAACUAAAUAAAUUCUCAAAAUACCAUGGACCGAGAGGUUAAUGAAUAAGGAAGUAUUAAAUAAAAUAAAGAAAUAACAACAAAUAUGGAAAAGUAUUCAAUCAAGAAGAGACAAAAUAAUGGGACACAUAUUAAGGCAUGAAAGUUUAUUAAAGAAAAUAAUUGAAGGAGAUGUUGAAGGACACAUUGUAAGAGAAAGACACAGAGCAUAAUACAUGACACAGAUAAUGCAGUAAACGAAUAAGGAAUACUACAAAGACCUGAAAGAACUGUGCUACGAUAGAGAAACAUGGAGCAACAAACAAAUCUACGGAUUUAUAACAAAAAAAAUAAUAAAUUCUUGAUUUACCUUCCUACAUUUAAAAACAAUUCUAUUUAUUAUACAUGGAGUUAUAUUAUUAUAAAAACUAAUUAUAACAAAACUACCUGUAACAAUGUUUUGGUGUGAACUAUGAUAAGUGCUUGUGGUAAGGAAAAGGGUACAUAGGUACCUACCCUAGUGUUUAGAACAUGGUUUUAUUAAAAUAUUAACUGAUAAUAACCAGAGCUCCGUUGUUUAUGACUGCAUAUUUUUUCAUCAAAAUCACAAUUAUAUCUGAAUAUGAUAUAAACUUGAUUCAUGAUAUUUAGAUUUCAAAUAUGCAAACUUAUUUUUCAUAUAUUUGCAUAUUUGACAUUUUUGAGGACAUAAAUGUAUAAAUUGAAUUAUUUAUAGAUUUAGAAGCAUAUUUUAAAUAUAAUAUUAAACAUUUGUNAUAAGGAAUUUCGGUCAUAAACAUCUGAGUUUUAGUAAUAACCUUCUCUACCAACAUGAUAAUAAAAUCUAGAUUAUCCCAUUACUAUAAAUUAUUUUACCAUAAAAACAUUGUUCACAAUUAACAUAAUAUUUCAUUAUCAAAGUAUUAAUGUAGCUUAUAUUAUCAAUUUCAGAGGGAGUUUCUAAACUUAAAGAAAAAGCUAGAAGAAAAAAGGGACGUGGUUUUGAUGACAAAUCUAAAAGAAAUAUUAAAGAUGAACCCAUGGAAUAUGAAUCUGUUGAUCAAACUGAAGACGAUGGACCUGGCCCUCAAAGAUGUAAUAUUAUCAUUUAACACACUUUUAAUUAUUAUUAUUAUUAUUAUUGUUGUUUAUGUGUAUGUGUGUAUGUAUUAUAUUUUCCUCAUAGCUGUUGAAGGUUGGAUUUUGUUUAUAUCUUCUUUACACGAAGAAGCACAAGAAGAUGAUUUACAUGAUAAAUUUGCUGAAUUUGGAAAAAUUAAAAAUUUACAUUUAAACUUGGACCGUAGGACUGGAUUUUUAAAGGUAAAUUAUAAUACUUAACUUAAUUAUUUUAUAAUUCAUCAAUGUUUUAAUUUACUGUUUUUUUUUUAAGGGUUAUGCAUUAGUUGAAUAUGAAUCGUACAAGGAAGCUUCUAGAGCACGUGAAGGACUCAAUAAUUCAGACAUAUUGGGACAGCAAAUUAAUGUAGAUUGGUGCUUUGUUAAAGGACCAAAAAGGUAUUUAAAUUUAAGUAAAUCAUGGUUGCACACAAAUACAAGUACAGUUUAGAUGUUAAAUCCAAUAAAUUUACCAUGAAACAAAAUAAUAUGAGUAUACAUAAAUAGGUGUAGUGACUAUGGCAAUCGUUAACAACUAACUACAGUAAUAAUAUUUAAUAAAUAUUUUAUUAUUUUGUUCCAGAGUAAAAAAAUCAAGACGCCGAGUGACAAAUUAUUAAUCUGGUUGUAGAUUAAAAAACAUCUAUUAUUGUCAAAAAUACUAAUUUGAUGUGUUUUUAUAUUUUGUAUAUUUAGUUAGAUAUCAUGCCCACAAAGAUAAAAACGGAAAAAAUGUAAAAACAAAAUUUUAAAAUAAUAAAAAAUUAAGUAUAACAUUGUAACUGAAAAUUUGUUAUUUAUCAAUUAAUGGCAGUUUUAUAUAGUGUUAUAAAUACUUUUUCUGAGUAUCUAUAUUUAAAAUUUAAUAUAAGUUGUGUAUAUUUAAACCUUUUGUAUAUAAUUGUUUUUAUGCAAAUAUUAAAUAAUAAUAGAAAUUUUAAAAAGUUAAUAUUGCAAUAAUCAAAUAGUUUUUAUAAACUACACUCCCGUGAAACUUGAAGUCUACUCGUCCACAGAAAGGCAUAUUUUUAUAAAAUGGCUUUACCAAUUUUCAUUAAACAAAUUAAAAAUUACUGAAGACAUUUUUAAGAUAAUUGUGUCAUUGUAAAGUAAAAUCAUUAGGCUUUCAAAGAAAAAUUUUUUUAUGAUAAUUGGUAUAGCAAUUUUAAAAAAAUAUGCCUUUUUAUGAUUGUGUCAAUUUAGUUGCACGCUAAUGUAUAAAUUCAGUUAGAUACAUAUUUUCUGUUUUAUUUUUAUUAAAUAAACUUAAACUAAAAUUGAGUUUAGAAUAAAAGUACUGUAGAACCUCGGUUUUCUAGGGAAUUUUAGGAAGAGAUUACAUGGUUAAAUGAAAACAACAGUUAAUCAAGAUUUUUUUUUGUUUAACAAAUUACAGUUACAUCGUAUACACCUACAUGUGUAUGUGCAUGCAUGUGUAUAUUGUCAUGUUAUAAUGUCAUCAGUCUUUAAUUUUAUAUUGUUUGAAAUGAUUUUCCUUACUUCACAUAUAAUUUUUCUUAAAUUCUUGACACUAUGGAAGUUAAAAUUAUUACUAUUUAUUGUUCUUAACUUAGAUAUAAUAUACUGUACCUAUGCUUAUAAUUUUGGUACAUAGAAAUUUAUGGAAGAGUGUGCCCAGAUAAUCGAGGUGCUACUGUCGUAAAUGUGUGUAACUAUAAAUUGUAUAAUUAAAAAAAAAAAACAUUUAUUUCAAAUAUUAUUUAAAACAUAAACUAUUUAACAAUAAAAUAUAAAAAUAGUAUAAUAUAUAAACAAAAGUAAAAGUAUGAAGAAAAAACUUGAUGUGGAGUAAAUUCCAUCAAAAAGUUUAUGAAGGAUGUGUGUAUUACAUGAUGACUUAUUAAAUCAAAACUGUUUGUAAAUACACACAACCUAUAAACCUCCAUGC